This 2516-nucleotide ribosomal RNA is filed under the name Helicobacter pylori Hp H-3. RNAcentral describes it as "bacterial SSU rRNA". The stretch from base 1 to 1498 matches the Rfam family "Bacterial small subunit ribosomal RNA". Lineage: Bacteria; Pseudomonadati; Campylobacterota; Epsilonproteobacteria; Campylobacterales; Helicobacteraceae. The record is from RNAcentral.
AGAGUUUGAUCCUGGCUCAGAGUGAACGCUGGCGGCGUGCCUAAUACAUGCAAGUCGAACGAUGAAGCUUCUAGCUUGCUAGAAGUGGAUUAGUGGCGCACGGGUGAGUAACGCAUAGGUCAUGUGCCUCUUAGUUUGGGAUAGCCAUUGGAAACGAUGAUUAAUACCAGAUACUCCCUACGGGGGAAAGAUUUAUCGCUAAGAGAUCAGCCUAUGUCCUAUCAGCUUGUUGGUAAGGUAAUGGCUUACCAAGGCUAUGACGGGUAUCCGGCCUGAGAGGGUGAACGGACACACUGGAACUGAGACACGGUCCAGACUCCUACGGGAGGCAGCAGUAGGGAAUAUUGCUCAAUGGGGGAAACCCUGAAGCAGCAACGCCGCGUGGAGGAUGAAGGUUUUAGGAUUGUAAACUCCUUUUGUUAGAGAAGAUAAUGACGGUAUCUAACGAAUAAGCACCGGCUAACUCCGUGCCAGCAGCCGCGGUAAUACGGAGGGUGCAAGCGUUACUCGGAAUCACUGGGCGUAAAGAGCGCGUAGGCGGGAUAGUCAGUCAGGUGUGAAAUCCUAUGGCUUUAACCAUAGGAACUGCAUUUGAAACUACUAUUCUAGAGUGUGGGAGAGGUAGGUGGAAUUCUUGGUGUAGGGGUAAAAUCCGUAGAGAUCAAGAGGAAUACUCAUUGCGAAGGCGACCUGCUGGAACAUUACUGACGCUGAUUGCGCGAAAGCGUGGGGAGCAAACAGGAUUAGAUACCCUGGUAGUCCACGCCCUAAACGAUGGAUGCUAGUUGUUGGAGGGCUUAGUCUCUCCAGUAAUGCAGCUAACGCAUUAAGCAUCCCGCCUGGGGAGUACGGUCGCAAGAUUAAAACUCAAAGGAAUAGACGGGGACCCGCACAAGCGGUGGAGCAUGUGGUUUAAUUCGAAGAUACACGAAGAACCUUACCUAGGCUUGACAUUGAGAGAAUCCGCUAGAAAUAGUGGAGUGUCUAGCUUGCUAGACCUUGAAAACAGGUGCUGCACGGCUGUCGUCAGCUCGUGUCGUGAGAUGUUGGGUUAAGUCCCGCAACGAGCGCAACCCCCUUUCUUAGUUGCUAACAGGUCAUGCUGAGAACUCUAAGGAUACUGCCUCCGUAAGGAGGAGGAAGGUGGGGACGACGUCAAGUCAUCAUGGCCCUUACGCCUAGGGCUACACACGUGCUACAAUGGGGUGCACAAAGAGAAGCAAUACUGCGAAGUGGAGCCAAUCUUCAAAACGCCUCUCAGUUCGGAUUGUAGGCUGCAACUCGCCUGCAUGAAGCUGGAAUCGCUAGUAAUCGCAAAUCAGCCAUGUUGCGGUGAAUACGUUCCCGGGUCUUGUACUCACCGCCCGUCACACCAUGGGAGUUGUGUUUGCCUUAAGUCAGGAUGCUAAACUAGCUACUGCCCACGGCACACACAGCGACUGGGGUGAAGUCGUAACAAGGUAACCGUAGGUGAACCUGCGGUUGGAUCACCUCCUUUCUAGAGAAAAGCUUUUAACAUUCGCUUGUUAAAAGCCAAAGAGUAUUACCUGACAAAAGAACUUCUUGUUGCUUAGUUUUGAAAGAUUGAACUUAUUCUUUCUUUUUUUAAAUCUUAUUUUUCAUUUGGUUUUUGCUUAAACUUUUAAUUCUUGUUUGUUUUUAAUAUUUCUUGCUUGUAUUGGAUUUCUUAAAUCUUACUUCUUGUUCUUUUCCAUUCUUAUUUUUUACUUAUUGGGUUUUAAUUCUUAUGUUUUAAUGUUUGGUUUCAUGUUUUUAGUGUUUUUUAUCUUUUGAUUUAGAGUUUGGUUGUUUGCUCUUUAAUUAAAGUUAGUGUUUUUUGUUUUUUGCUUGUGCUUUGUUUUUCUUAAAUCUUAUUUCUUGUUUGCUUGAUUUUAAUCGCUUAUGUUUUUUGUUUGUUGUGUUUAAUGUUUUUUGUUUGUUGUUUCACCUUGUCUUUUGCUUGCUUGAUUUUGGUUUCUUACUGCUUAUGGUUUUUACUUCUUGCUUUUUAUUUAGUUUGAUUUUGAUUUGAUUGUGUUUCGUGUUUUAUUUUUCUUAAAUCUCAUUUCUUUUGUUUGAGUGUUGGAUUUAGUGUUGGACUUUCUUAAUUCUUAUGUUUGGACUUUUUGCUUCUUGUUUCUUUGUGUUCUUAAGGUUUUUACUGCUUGUGGUUUGUGGUUGUUGUGUUGGAGUUUUACUUGUUACUUCUUGGGUUUUAAUUUCUUAUUCCUUACUUAUUGGGUUUUAAUUCUUAUGUUUUAAUGUUUGGUUUCAUGUUUUUAGUUUUUCUUGCUUCUUAACGUUUAGUGGGUUCGUUAUUUUUAAGGGGGUUUAGUGGGGUUUGGUCGUUGGGUUUUAUUUUUUUAAGCCUUAUCUUUAUCUUAUCCUUUAUUUCUUGCUUGUUUUGUUUCUUGCGUGUUAAGUUUUAUUUUUUGUGAAAUGCAUAUAAGGGAGUAGGGGUUAUUUUGCGAUGCUCUAAAUCCUAAAACGCUUUAAAAGUUAUCGUUUGAUUAAAA